UCCGUUAUGGCCAGGAAAAAUUCUUAUUGAAAGCAGGUUUAUUUAAAUUUUUAUAUUUAAAAAAACUGGAGAAGUUUUAUUUCUGCUUUAAAAAAGGCAGCCUUUGCCGUAUACAAUCCAACACAGGUGGCAUAGCAGAAAAUGCUCAGGCAAACACAUAUCCUCGGUAAAGGAACUCGGCAAAUUACUCCUGUACCUUUGGAAGAAGGGAGCCCAUUUUUUAAAACUAUACAUUUUUUGUUUUUUCUUAAAAAAUGGGGUCACAAAAAAGGGAUGGGGAACUGUUUAGCAAAAACACAGGACUUUGCAACGUAGAAAUACUAAGUAUAAAGUCUGACGCCUGCCCAGUGCCGGAAGAUAAGAAUUUGUUGUGAAAGCAACAACUCUGAAGGACCGGUGAACGGCAGCCCUAACUCUAAGGGUUCUAAGGUAGCGAAAUUCCUUGUCGAAUAAUUGUCGACCCGCAUGAAUGGCGUAAUCACCCAUCCGCUGUCUCUACUGAGGUGUGGGCGAAUUUGACAUUCUCGUGAAGAGGCGAGAACACUGCCACGGGACAAUGAGACCCUAUGCACCUUUACUCUAAGCGAAAAUUGCUUUUUUAAAAAUUCUUUUUCAGCAUAGGUGGGAGUAUUCUAAAAAGUACACCAGUGAGAUACCACCAUUGAUUCAUUAAAAAGCCUUUCUAUUGACUGUUAAAAAAUAGAAAUCUUUUCGCUUGGGAGUUUGUCUGGGGCGGAAGCCUCCAAAAAAAUAUCGGGGGCGUGCCAAGGUAUGGAUAAACUGUUUUUGCGGUUUAGAGUCUGACAACCCAGAAACCAUGCCUGACUGUUAGGCCUACAAGCCAAGCAGGGUGUUUUUCAUAUAAGGAAUAAACACAUUCCAAACCUUUUGUUCUAUCGAACAAAAGUGUCUAAAGACCCUUUUGGAAUUACGAAAGUAUGCGGUAGUGAACCAGCACUCUGGAGUGGAAAGAGUGUUGAUCAACGGAUCAAAGGUACGCUAGGGAUAACAGGUUUAUCAGCCCUUAGAGUUCCAAUCGACGGGCUGGUUUGACACCUCGAUGUCGGCUCAUCGUGUCCUCUUGCUGCAGAAGGUAAGAAGGGUUCGACUGUUCGUCGAUUAAAACGGUACGUGAGCUGGGUUCAGUGCGUGGUGACACAGCACGGCUCUUCUCUGUGGCAGUUUUUUAGACAGUUACAUAUACUUUUUAGUACGAAAGGACCUGAAAGUACACACCUCUGGUAUAUCAGUUGUAUUUUUAAAAAUGCAUUGCUGAGCAGCUAAGUGUGCAAACAGUAUGGCUGAAAGCAUCUUAAGCCAGAAAGUUGUGUAAAACCAUGUCUCUUUUUUGGUUGUAGACUACAACCUUUAUCGGUACAUUGUAAACAAACGAAAGUUUAUAGGAUUUUCCUCACGAAU
Molecule: ribosomal RNA, 1419 nt
Filed under: Tetradesmus obliquus
Lineage: Eukaryota; Viridiplantae; Chlorophyta; Chlorophyceae; Sphaeropleales; Scenedesmaceae
Description: large subunit ribosomal RNA
Rfam family: Bacterial large subunit ribosomal RNA
Source: RNAcentral